This 482-nucleotide ribosomal RNA is filed under the name uncultured bacterium. Its description in RNAcentral is "bacterial SSU rRNA". It matches the Rfam family "Bacterial small subunit ribosomal RNA", at positions 30 to 507 of the family's 1533-position model. The record is from RNAcentral.
AUUGAACGCUGGCGGCAUGCCUUACACAUGCAAGUCGAACGGUAACAGGUCUUCGGAUGCUGACGAGUGGCGAACGGGUGAGUAAUAUAUCGGAACGUGCCCAGUCGUGGGGGAUAACGCAGCGAAAGCUGUGCUAAUACCGCAUACGAUCUAUGGAUGAAAGCGGGGGAUCGCAAGACCUCGCGCGAUUGGAGCGGCCGAUAUCAGAUUAGGUAGUUGGUGGGGUAAAGGCCCACCAAGCCAACGAUCUGUAGCUGGUCUGAGAGGACGACCAGCCACACUGGAACUGAGACACGGUCCAGACUCCUACGGGAGGCAGCAGUGGGGAAUUUUGGACAAUGGGCGCAAGCCUGAUCCAGCAAUGCCGCGUGCAGGAUGAAGGCCUUCGGGUUGUAAACUGCUUUUGUACGGAACGAAAAGGCUCUGGUUAAUACCUGGGGCUCAUGACGGUACCGUAAGGAUAAGCACCGGCUAACUACGUG